GAUGAAGAACGCAGUGAAAUGCGAUAAGUAGUUUGAAUUGCAGAAUUCAGUGAAUCAUCGAAUCUUUGAACGCACAUUGCGCCCCUCGGUAUUCCGUGGGGCAUGCCUGUUCGAGCGUCAUUUAACCCCUCAAGCCUAGCUUGGUAUUGGGUGCUUGUCCCGCCUCUCGCGCGGCGACUCACCUCAAAGUCAUUGGCAGCCCGCAUCUCGCCGGCCGUGAGCGCAGCACAGACGCGCUCUUGGCAACGACGGAUCGGCUCUCCAAAAGCUUAUUUCAACCACUGACCUCGGAUCAGGUAGGGAUACCCGCUGAACUUAAGCAUAUCAAUAAGCGGAGGA
Molecule: unclassified non-coding RNA, 339 nt
Filed under: soil metagenome
Description: partial contains 5.8S ribosomal RNA, internal transcribed spacer 2, and large subunit ribosomal RNA
Rfam family: 5.8S ribosomal RNA (bases 1-120)
Source: RNAcentral